This is a small nucleolar RNA of Rhododendron vialii, 107 nucleotides long. RefSeq annotates it as small nucleolar RNA snoR100. The transcript has a single exon. The record is from RefSeq and is a predicted model, not a curated record. NCBI's taxonomy places the organism in Eukaryota, Viridiplantae, Streptophyta, Magnoliopsida, Ericales, Ericaceae.
AAAUUAUCUCUAUAUGGUAAUGUGCACUAAAAUUAAUUGGGUCUCUACGCCUACUCUCUCUGAUGCCUUUUGGUUUUGAUUUGGGGGCAUGGUUCCGCCGCAAAACG